RNAcentral lists this ribosomal RNA (642 nucleotides) under Nostoc sp. 4G6. Its description in RNAcentral is "bacterial SSU rRNA". It matches the Rfam family "Bacterial small subunit ribosomal RNA", at positions 119 to 799 of the family's 1533-position model. Lineage: Bacteria; Bacillati; Cyanobacteriota; Cyanophyceae; Nostocales; Nostocaceae. The record is from RNAcentral.
GGGCGAAGCUCGGUCGGGUAACAGUUGGAACGACUGCUAAUACCGGAUGUGCCGAAAGGUGAAAGAUUUAUUGCCUGAAGAUGAGCUCGCGUCUGAUUAGCUAGUUGGUGUGGUAAGAGCGCACCAAGGCGACGAUCAGUAGCUGGUCUGAGAGGAUGAUCAGCCACACUGGGACUGAGACACGGCCCAGACUCCUACGGGAGGCAGCAGUGGGGAAUUUUCCGCAAUGGGCGAAAGCCUGACGGAGCAAUACCGCGUGAGGGAGGAAGGCUCUUGGGUUGUAAACCUCUUUUCUCAAGGAAUAACGCAAUGAAGGUACUUGAGGAAUAAGCAUCGGCUAACUCCGUGCCAGCAGCCGCGGUAAUACGGAGGAUGCAAGCGUUAUCCGGAAUGAUUGGGCGUAAAGGGUCCGCAGGUGGCAGUGUAAGUCUGCUGUUAAAGAAUGAGGCUCAACCUCAUCAAGGCAGUGGAAACUACACAGCUAGAGUACGGUCGGGGUAGAAGGAAUUCCUGGUGUAGCGGUGAAAUGCGUAGAGAUCAGGAAGAACACCGGUGGCGAAAGCGUUCUGCUAGACCUGUACUGACACUGAGGGACGAAAGCUAGGGGAGCGAAUGGGAUUAGAUAUCCAAGGUAGUCACACG